Molecule: ribosomal RNA, 252 nt
Filed under: uncultured archaeon
Lineage: Archaea
Description: partial 16S ribosomal RNA
Rfam family: Archaeal small subunit ribosomal RNA
Source: RNAcentral
CAGCCGUAAACAAUGUGCGUUAGGUGUGUCGGUAACCACGCGUUACUGAUGCGCCGAAGAGAAAUCGUGAAACGCACCACCUGGGAAGUACGGUCGCAAGGCUGAAACUUAAAGGAAUUGGCGGGGGAGCACCACAACAGGUGGAGCCUGCGGUUUAAUUUGGAUUCAACGCCGGACAUCUCACCGGAUAAGACAGCUGAAUGAUUGUCAAUCUGAAGGUUUUACAUGACUAGCUGAGAGGUGGUGCAUGGC